UGGGGAAUAUUGCACAAUGGGCGCAAGCCUGAUGCAGCCGUGCCGCGUGUGUGAAGAAGGCCUUCGGGUUGUAAAGCACUUUCAGCGAGGAGGAAGGUGGUGGACUUAAUACGUUCAUCAAUUGACGUUACUCGCAGAAGAAGCACCGGCUAACUCCGUGCCAGCAGCCGCGGUAAUACGGAGGGUGCAAGCGUUAAUCGGAAUUACUGGGCGUAAAGCGCACGCAGGCGGUUUGUUAAGUCAGAUGUGAAAUCCCCGGGCUCAACCUGGGAACUGCAUUUGAAACUGGCAAGCUAGAGUCUCGUAGAGGGGGGUAGAAUUCCAGGUGUAGCGGUGAAAUGCGUAGAGAUCUGGAGGAAUACCGGUGGCGAAGGCGGCCCCCUGGACGAAGACUGACGCUCAGGUGCGAAAGCGUGGGGAGCAAACAGGAUUAGAUACCCCUGGUAGUCCACGCUGUAAAACGAUGUCGAUUUUGGAGGUUGUG
This 484-nucleotide ribosomal RNA is filed under the name uncultured bacterium. RNAcentral's name for it is "partial 16S ribosomal RNA". It matches the Rfam family "Bacterial small subunit ribosomal RNA", at positions 355 to 829 of the family's 1533-position model. The record is from RNAcentral.